AACAAUUACCCCCAGAGAGUAGCUAAAUACGAGAUAUUUCCUCGUACUACCCCUAAGAAUUCUAAGAAAAUAUCCGUGUAAUCCGGAUUACUCUCGAGCCCAAUAGCUAGCCCAACCACCUAACACGAAUUAAUCAACAUUAAUAACCCCUCACGCAGGAAUUGACAUAAAACAAACCAUUUUUCCCUCUUAGUAUGGGAGACAGAAAAGAGAUCCCGGCGCAAUAAAGAAAGUACCGCAAGGGGAAAGCUGAAAGAGAAAUGAAACAACCCAGUUCGAAGCCCAGCAAAGCAGAGU
This 297-nucleotide ribosomal RNA is filed under the name Thalassoma amblycephalum (blunt-headed wrasse). Its description in RNAcentral is "partial 16S ribosomal RNA". The record is from RNAcentral. Lineage: Eukaryota; Metazoa; Chordata; Actinopteri; Labriformes; Labridae.